Molecule: ribosomal RNA, 1227 nt
Filed under: Stephanitis chinensis
Lineage: Eukaryota; Metazoa; Arthropoda; Insecta; Hemiptera; Tingidae
Description: 16S ribosomal RNA
Rfam family: Archaeal large subunit ribosomal RNA (bases 1001-1159)
Source: RNAcentral
UAUUUAAUUUUAAUUUUUUUUUAUUUUAUUUUUUUUUCAAUAAGUAAAUAAAUUUAUAGUAUAAAUUUUUUGAAUUAAUUAAAUUAAUUAUUGUAAGUGUACUGUGAAGGAACCAACAAAUUAUAUUAAAAGAACUUAAUUUUAAGGUACCUUUUGUAUCAGGGUUUAUUAAAUUUAAUUUAUUUACUUUAAAUUUCCCGAAAUCUAAAGAUAUAUAUAUUUAUUAAUGUAUAAAUUUCAGAUUGUUAUAUAAUAAAUAUAUAGAGGUUAUAUGCUUUUCAAUUUUGAUAUAUCUGGUUACUUUUGAAUUGAAUUUAAUUCAUAAUUAAAUUGGGAAGAAAAAUUUUAAUUUUUCUUUUAAUUUAAUUAAAUUGUUGGAGGGAUAAGCUUCUUACAAAUUUUAUAAUUUAUUUAUUUAUUUUUAAUUAAAGUUAGGAUUAAUAUUUUCCAUAUCUAUAUUUUUAUAAAAAAAAUUAAUUUUAUUCUUGAUUUAUUUUUAAUUUAAAAUUUUAAAAAGUUAUUUAAUUUAAUUAUUUAUUUUAAGAGAUAAUGAUAAAAUAAGUAUAAUUUGUUAUUUAAUUUAAGAAUUCAGCAAUUUAAAUUCUCGAUUGUUUAAUAAAAACAUUUCUUUUUGGUUUUUUAAAAAGUAAAGCCUGCUCAAUGAUUAUUUAAAUAGCCGCGUUAUAACCGUGCUAAGGUAGCAUAAUAAUUUGUCUUUUAAUUAAGGUCUAGUAUGAAUGGUUAAACGAGGAAUUAACUUUUUUAAUUGAAUUAAUUUAAACUUUAUUUUUUAGUUAAAAAGCUAAAAUAAAAUUAAAGGACGAUAAGACCCUAUAGAAUUUUAUUUAAAUUUGUUUUAUUUUAUGUUUAUAAACAUAAAAUAAAACAUAUAAAUUUGGUUGGGGUGAUUUUUAUAUUUUAUUAACUAUAAUAUUUAUUUUUCAUAAAUUAAUGAAAUUUUGAUCCUUACAUUAAGAUUAAUAGAAAAAAUUACCUUAGGGAUAACAGCGUAAUUUUCUUGGAGAGUUCUUAUUAAUAAGAAAGAUUGCGACCUCGAUGUUGGAUUAAAAUAAAAUUAUGGUGUAGAAGCUAUAAAUUUAAGUCUGUUCGACUUUUAAAAUUUUACAUGAUCUGAGUUAAGACCGGCGUGAGCCAGAUUGGUUUCUAUCCUUAAUUAAUAAUAAUAAUUUAGUACGAAAGGACCAAUUAUUACAAAUAUACGUUUGU